CUACCUGUGGUGCAGCUGGAUAACACGUCAGACUCCGACUCUGGAGACCCGCGGUUCGAAUCCGCGCAGGUAGACCA
RNAcentral lists this transfer RNA (77 nucleotides) under Candidatus Coproplasma stercoravium. Its description in RNAcentral is "tRNA-Arg". It matches the Rfam family "tRNA". From Rfam's summary of the family: Transfer RNA (tRNA) molecules are approximately 80 nucleotides in length. Their secondary structure includes four short double-helical elements and three loops (D, anti-codon, and T loops). Lineage: Bacteria; Bacillati; Bacillota; Clostridia; Eubacteriales. The record is from RNAcentral.